UCCGCAAUGGGCGAAARCUGACGGAGCAAUACCGCGUGAGGGAAGACUGUCMUAUGGGUUGUAAACMUCUUUUUUCAGGGAGGAAUAAAAUGACGUGUACCUGAAGAAUAAGYAUCGGCUAACUCCGUGCCAGCAGCCGCGGUAAGACGGAGGAUGCAAGURUUAUCCGGAAUCACUGRGCGUAAAGCRUCUGUAGGUGGUUUAAUAAGUMAACUGUUAAAUCUUGAGGCUCAACUUCAAAAUSGCAGUCGAAACUAUUAGACUAGAGUAUAGUAGAGGUAAAGGGAAUUUCCAGUGGAGCGGUGAAAUGCGUAGAUAUUGGAAAGAACACYGAUGGCGAAAGCACUUUACUGGGMUAUUACUAACACUCAGAGACGAAARAUAGGNUARCAAAUGRGAUUAGAU
RNAcentral lists this ribosomal RNA (405 nucleotides) under uncultured bacterium. RNAcentral's name for it is "partial 16S ribosomal RNA". It matches the Rfam family "Bacterial small subunit ribosomal RNA", at positions 365 to 783 of the family's 1533-position model. The record is from RNAcentral.